GGGCAAGAUAGGUGAAGUUAGCUAACCAGCAAGCUGGUUAUCAAUCUUCACUCUCCCUUAUUCGCACCUUCGGCGCUCAACGGGGAUCUUGCUCUGCGAGGCA
This 103-nucleotide non-coding RNA is filed under the name Yersinia enterocolitica subsp. enterocolitica 8081. Its description in RNAcentral is "traJ-II RNA". It matches the Rfam family "traJ-II RNA". Lineage: Bacteria; Pseudomonadati; Pseudomonadota; Gammaproteobacteria; Enterobacterales; Yersiniaceae. The record is from RNAcentral.